Non-coding RNA from Acanthosepion pharaonis, 108 nucleotides. The record is from the annotation of a GenBank genome assembly. Lineage: Eukaryota; Metazoa; Mollusca; Cephalopoda; Sepiida; Sepiidae.
UCAUGUCACUUUGAAACACCGGUUCGCAAAUGAUCACCGAAGUUAAGCAACAUCGACCCUGGUCAGUACCUAUAUGAGAAACCGUUUGGGAACAGCAGGUGCUGUAAG